Molecule: ribosomal RNA, 1839 nt
Filed under: Triticum aestivum (bread wheat)
Lineage: Eukaryota; Viridiplantae; Streptophyta; Magnoliopsida; Poales; Poaceae
Description: partial small subunit ribosomal RNA
Source: RNAcentral
AUGCUGCACACUUGUGGAGCAUGUGCAGAGAACACAAAGGUUACUACAAAGUGGUUGUCCAAAUCAGUACAACCAGUAUUGAGAGAUGACAUUAGAGCUCCUGUGGAUGCAUUAAUAAAAAAGACUAAGACUAAGUUUUCAGUUGAUGUUUUAAGAAGUGUGGCAUAUAGGGCAAGGAGGAAGGUUGUUGAUGUGGUGCAAGGUGACCACAAGCAACAAUACUUGAGACUGAGGGAUUAUCUUCAAGCUGUUCUUGACACAAACCCUGGGAGCAGAUGUAUUGUAACAACAUUUGUUGACCCAGAAAAUCCUGCACCCACUCCUAGAUUCAAGUACAUGUUCUAUUGUCUGGCAGCAUCAAAGGAAGGGUUUCUGAAUGGUUGCAGACCAUUUAUAGGGCUUGAUGGGUGUUUCAUCAAGUUAACCACUGGACAGCAAAUUCUUGCUGCCACAGGAAGGGAUGGCAACAACAACAUCUACCCCAUAGCUUUUGGUGUGGUUGACAAGGAAGAUGGAGAAAGUUGGACUUGGUUUUUAACUCAGCUGAGAUGCUGCAUUGGUAGUGGUAACAAAUUUGGAACAUACACAAUAAUAUCUGGCAGGCAAAAGGGGUUACUUAAGGCAAUAAAUGAGGUGUUCCCUGAUUCACCUCAAAGAUUCUGUCUUAGGCACAUAUAUGCAAACUUUCAAGCAGCUGGGUAUAGAAGCAAAGAACUAAAGCACUGUGUUGACCAGGCUAACUACUCUUACACUAGGCAUGGGCAUGAAUUAGGGAUGGCAGCUCUGAAAGCACAGUCUGAGGAUGCUUGGAAAUGGCUUAAAAAUAUAGAGAUCUCUGCUUGGGCUAGGUAUGCUAUGGAUCAUACUUGCAAAACAGAUCUAGUUGUGAACAACCUUAGUGAAGUCUUCAACAAGAUGAUACUUGAUGUUAGAGCCAAACCAAUAAGGACAAUGUUUGAAGGGAUUAGAACCAAGCAGAUGAUAAAGAGGCAGCAGACUAGGGGGAAGUUGCAGACAUGCAGGUGGACAAUCACACCAAAUUACUCAGAAGAGAACAAAAAGUAUGCCAAGCACUGCCAGGCUGACAAAGCUGGUGAGACAAUUUGGCAAGUAACAAGCAAAGAAAACCAAUAUUGUGUGGACAUGGAAACAUGUACAUGUGACUGCAAGAGAUGGGACAUGACAGGUUGUCCUUGCAGUCAUGCCAUAUCUGCAUUGACAAAGCAAAAGCUCCAUCCUGAAGACUAUGUUAAUGAAUUCUUCAAGAAGCCACUGUACCUGGAGGCAUACAAAGCAAUAAUUUUCCCUGUCCCUGGUCCAGAUUGCUGGCCUGAUACAAACACUCCAGAUAUCCAGCCUCCUGUGUUCAAAGAAAAGGCAGGGAAAAAGCAGACAACAAGGAGGAAGGGUGAGUUUGAGGUUCCAGCUCCUAGAGACACUAGUAGGAUGGGUACUAUCACCUGUGGAAAUUGUAACAAGACUCUAAGGCCUAGGCUUCAGAUGAGGAAGACAGGACAUCAGGAAAACAGGGCAGUUUAUGAAGACAUAGCCGGUUCAUCUAGAACAGUUCCUCUUGCAACUGCAAGAACCACAACAGUACCUGCUGCAACUCCAUCUGCAUCUGCACCAGCCCCUUCUGCAUCUGGCCCAGGCCCUUCUGCAUCUGCACCAGGCCCUGCACCAAGAGCUAAAAGAGGUAGGCCUAAAGGUAGAGGGAGGACUCGUGGAUUUACUGCUCCAAGACCUGCAAGCACUUCAGAUAAUCAAGUUGGGACCAAGAGGAAGAGAAUGACAAGCUCCAAAUUAAAAGGUUAUUUCUAUUGCAGUGGUAACUACUGA